CGCCUCAAAUGUUUUCAUAAACACAGCUUUGUGUACUGUUUAGCUUUUUAAAAUUAGAAAGUUGGUUCAGCUGGUUGGUGGUGCUCAGUACUCCAGUUAGCUGUAUCCAACAUGGUGGCUGGAUCACAGACUUUCUCAUUUUACAGAUAAACAUUAAAAUACAUUUCUGAAAACAUUAGAGACAAGAACUAGGCAAUGCAGUAAUAACAUCGUAAUUCAAAUUUGAUCAGUACUGCUUAGUUUGGCAGUUUGACCACAGUUCACAGAGCAGCUGAUGUGAUUGACAGCUGUGUGAGACACUCUUAAGGUAUGAUUGGUUGUUGCUGCCAUUAGACACAGUAGGAAGAGGAGGAGUGACAUGAUUUUUUUUUCACAAUCUGUCUCCUGUACUUCUUUCAGAAUAUAGUGGAAACUUCAGAAAAUUGACACAAAGUUCUUUUAAUUAAAGUUACCAAUACCAACUGUAGCUUGAGGUCCCAUGUGUUGUGAAUUCUGUUUGAAAAAUUACAUGUCCAUGUUCAUGGUUUGGAUUUGAGAGUAUCUUUGAUUAAUGUGCUCCCUAAAACUGCAACGCCAAAUUGCAAGAUAGACAAUAGACACAGUGCGUGUCCACUGGUAAAACUAAAUGUGGAAUACUAAAUACUAACAGAUGUGAAAUUUUUGCCCACAGAACAGCCCAUAACACAGUACGCAUAGCAUAGUAAAGCAAAUACUAACAUGUUUUUCAUACUUUUUACUUUAUAUUUUCUUUUGUGCAUCCCUUCCUUAGAAAUGGUUGUGUAAUGUGAUCUAUGAAAAACUACAGUAGUAAUGGAUAAAAAAAGCUUAGAGAGCUCUGUGUUGUUUCAUUUAUUGCUCUAAAACCAGUAGGCCCUAAAAGAAUAAUAAUAUUAAGUAUCAGUUAAAUGUUGGUACAAAGUAACAAAAAAACCUGCUGUUUGUUCUGUAAGUAGGUCUGUGUAAUUUUAAAGUUUUAUAAAUAAUUUAACAGUUCUGGAUUAAAUCAAAAUUUUAGAGGUUUAAAUUGGACAAUAUUUUGCCUGCCGACAUGUUACCAAGGCCUACUUACUGUCUUUUGUUUUGCCAUUAUAUGUUUGUCAUGCAAUAGUAACCCACCCUGACUUAUAAUUUGCUGAGUUUGGUUUAUUUUGUUUUGAAAACAUUAAUAUGUGAUAGAACUGUUACAUAUGUGAACAUCACACCCACUUCGACGCUGGACUCUUGAGGAGAUGAGUGCAGAGCUGAAACCCUCUGCAGGGAAGGUGUUUGUGAGUCCUCGCUAAUGAGGCAACUUUAAGUUGUGUAUCCCAUCUGCACCUGUGCUGACUUCUGUUUAAAAUGGAAAAUUGAGCAAUGUACACUUUGAUGUCAUGGGAAAGGAAAAUCCAUAGAGCCCAUGCGAAGCUGUUCACAUACCUACAAGUGCAUUUGGGCACUUAAUGUGACCGAUUAUCAAUAAAUUGUUCAUUUGAAGGGAAACAUGUUUCUUCGAUGGAAGUGAAUUGAAGAAACACGCUGCCAUGCCUUAUUGUGUUUCGAAAGGAGUUUUCACUUGAAAUUUGUUUCUGCACACGAAAAGGGAGACAGUUUGUUUAGCAACAGUGAAGACAGACCCACAUGUCGUGUGAGGAUCCCUGUUUGCUUGCAGGCCUGUUCUGAGCUCCUCAGUUGCCCAUCGUAAAUUACUCCCCCAUGAGCCUUCUGUUAUAUCCUCGCCGUUUCCUGUUGGCAUGUGAACACCUGAUCAGGAUGGAGGAGCCUCUGCUGCCUCUUGCUUACAGCCAGUUUGCAGUGUGAAACGGCGGCAGAUGCAGACAGCGGUGCAGUUCGGGAGCCGAGGGCAGGAGCAAACAGCGGCAUGGGCCAGUUUCCUGUUGUCUUCCCUGCUCGUUACUCUAAAGGUUUUUAUGUGCCAUGUUCCCGAUUGUGAGUAGGAGCUGAGGAAAUCCCAUCACCGGCCGUCACACACUCCACUCGGGAGAUUGUGGGUGACACCGCUUCGAAAUUUCCAUAACAGUUCAAGCUGUCUCACUGCAGAGGCCAAGCUGAACCACUGGGCUGAUUUGUCUGUAUUAUACUUUGCCCAGUUUGAUUUGAUAUGACUUAAUGUUUGACUCAGGGAAGAGGAUUGGCUCAGGAAUAUUGUUUGCCCCUCGUUUUUGUGCUCUCCUCUGAUUGAACCUACUCCGAGGAGACGAGUGAAGAAGCAAGUUUGCUGUGCUGAAGCUGCGUUCUGUCGUCAUCUGACGUCUGCUGCAGCAUGGAAACGAAACACCGACAGGCCAGAUUGUUUUCCCCUUUUGACACUGCUGGAAGGAAUCCACGCUGCGGACCCACACCCUCCCUCAAAUUCUUCUAGGAGACCUGUUUAUUUAGCCAGUGCCCUUUUACAAGUUUAAGGCCACUUUACACAGGAAAGAAAGUUUUCCCAUUUCCUCCUGCCAUUCAGUUUAGUCUUAGCAAUGUGAGAGCAAAUGCUGUGUGCUGUCUGAGAAGGACCCCUAACUCCACUAGAGAAACAUUGCCAUCUUGAGGACCAUGGAGCUCCUGCUUGCCUCUCACAGUCUACCUGACAAAUCACACUCAUGCACACCCAGGCCAGAGCCGGUAUCACUGCUGGUAAGGGUAAGGAGAAAAAGUGCUGCCCGUCAGGUCUGUAUCGGUGGCUAAGGCAGCAGUGGUAAGUAUCAAGUGUAAACACCACAUGUUUUUCAAUAACAAAUGCAAAAUGACACAUUGAUUUUCAGCCAAAGUCAUUACAGAGGUUAUUUCCACCGAUGGCGACUGGCACAAAUUCAAAAGACAUUUCUCACAGCAGAUAUUGUGUCUUGUCACAGUAGGAAAAUCACUGUUAUAUUCAAGUGUUGCAGUGGGUGACAGUGAGCCAGGAUGCACAGUAACCGGAGCCUAAAAUCAGUGCAGCUAAAUGGAAUUCACUCUGUUAAUUACAGUAUUUACUCCUGUCAUUUUCCUACUGUGACAUGUCAACAUGUUUUAUGUGAAAAGGUCCUAUUGUGUAAGAUAGCAGGACCGUUCACUGCCCACAGUAACCCAUUGCGUGCAGUAAUGCUCCAAUCAAGAGCUUGAGAAUCAACAACAACCCAAAAAGAUAAAUUGUCCUAAUUACUCAACAUGUCAGUACCUUGGAUAAUAUACCCAUGCAGAGGUGCUUGUUUGCAGCAAAAUUUAAGUUAAAUGUUGAUUUUUUUUACAGCAAACCUGCUGCAGCUGUUGAACCCUCUGCCUAUAGAGUUCCAAUGGACAGCCGCUGCAGCACCAGUAUGUUUACAGGCCGCCCAUCAGUUCUCUACUGUAAGUACCCUUUUUUGUUGUGAUGUACAGUACAUUAACAAUCUGAACUGACUGAAAAUGUUUUUUGUGUGUGUUUGUAAACCAAAGAGAAAUAAUUACAAGCAUUUGUUGGGCUUAGUUUUAAAGCCAAAGUGAAAAUUCAUGUAAUACAAUAGAUGAACCACCAACACAUGUAUUCACAUCAGUGUGUCUAAAAAAUGUGUUAAUAAAACACGUUAAAGAUGAUGCUACUUGUGGGUGUUUUCCUUGCGGAGAGAGAGAGACGUCAGCGUGGUACCAGUGCAUUUAUUGCUCUGAGUCGUCUGAGUCAAACGAGAACAGACUUGAGUCACAUGUCAGUAUAUUAGCUGACAACGCACUGUUAAAAGGCUUAAAAAUUAUCUCUAAGGACUUUGAACAGGAUAUCUAUGAUUGGUUAAGUAUAUUUUCUAAACUAUCAGUUCACAAAUCCAGGAGCCAGAGUAGUGACAAAACAGUGCUUUACCCAUAAAUGCGUUUGCUGCAACAAAAAUAUAAGAUCAAACACCAUCAAACAGAACUUAGUUCAUUAUCAGUGGCAUUUAGAAAAUUAACAGACAUACAAAUUAUUUCAAGAUACUGCUUUAACAUACAGUUCCUUAAAAUAUCCAGACAACUAACAAGUAAAAUAAUCCUAAACCCAAAUCUACUUUUAAAGCAUCAAAUGCAUUUCAUAAAAGAUUUAUUGUGGUACAAAAUAUUCAGUUGCCCUCAGUCACAAAGCAUACUGGUAGUGAAUGCAACUCGUGAGCCAAAAGAGCUUUUGUGCAUGACUGUCGUUAUUGAAACAAUACAAAGAGCCUUGCUCAGUAUUGUGAAAGUGAGAUGAGGGGGAAUAAUUUGGUACUAAUUGAGACAGCAUUCUUUGAGUAGAAGCUUUCCUCCGCCACAAGAGGGCAGUGUAACAAAAGCCAUCCACAC
Molecule: non-coding RNA, 4251 nt
Organism: Plectropomus leopardus (leopard coralgrouper)
Lineage: Eukaryota; Metazoa; Chordata; Actinopteri; Perciformes; Serranidae
Source: RefSeq, a predicted model, not a curated record